CCUACGGGGCGCAGCAGUAGGGAAUUUUCGUCAAUGGGCGCAAGCCUGAACGAGCAAUGCCGCGUGAACGAGGAAGGUCUUCGGAUCGUAAAGUUCUGUUGAAGGGGAAAAAGAGCGGAGAGAGGAAAUGGUCUCCGAUUGAUAUUACCCUUCGAGGAAGUCACAGCUAACUACGUGCCAGCAGCCGCGGUAAUACGUAGGUGGCGAGCGUUAUCCGGAAUGAUUGGGCGUAAAGCGAGUGCAGGCGGUGGAAUAAGUCUGAUUGAGAA
This 269-nucleotide ribosomal RNA is filed under the name uncultured bacterium. Its description in RNAcentral is "partial 16S ribosomal RNA". It matches the Rfam family "Bacterial small subunit ribosomal RNA", at positions 338 to 599 of the family's 1533-position model. The record is from RNAcentral.